AAGCGGAGGAAAAGAAACCAACAGGGAUUGCCUUAGUAACGGCGAGUGAAGCGGCAACAGCUCAAAUUUGAAAUCUGGCCCUUGGGUCCGAAUUGUAAUUUGUAGAGGAUGAUUUUGGUGCGGUAUCUUCCGAGUUCCUUGGAACAGGACGCCUUAGAGGGUGAGAGCCCCGUACGGUUGAAUGCCUAGCCUCUGUAAAUCUCCUUCGACGAGUCGAGUAGUUUGGGAAUGCUGCUCUAAAUGGGAGGUAAAUUUCUUCUAAAGCUAAAUAUUGGCCAGAGACCGAUAGCGCACAAGUAGAGUGAUCGAAAGAUGAAAAGCACUUUGAAAAGAGGGUUAAAUAGCACGUGAAAUUGUUGAAAGGGAAGGAUUUGUGACCAGACUUUUUCUGGGCGGAUCAUCCGGGGUUCUCUCCGGUGCACUUCGCCCAGUAAAGGCCAGCAUCGGUUUUCGGCGUGGGAUAAAAGCAGUAGGAAUGUGGCUCUCUACGGGGAGUGUUAUAGCCUAUUGUAUAAUACCGCGCUGGGGACCGAGGUUCGCGCUUCUGCAAGGAUGCUGGCGUAAUGGUUAUCAAUCACCCGUCUUGAAACACGGACCAAGGAGUCGAACAUUUGUGCGAGUGUUUGGGUGUUAAACCCUCACGCGUAAUGAAAGUGAACGGAGGUGAGAGCCCUUACGGGUGCAUCAUCGACCGAUCCUGAAGUUUUCGGAUGGAUUUGAGUAAGAGCAUAACUGUUCGGACCCGAAAGAUGGUGAACUAUGCGUGGAUAGGGUGAAGCCAGAGGAAACUCUGGUGGAGGCUCGCAGCGGUUCUGACGUGCAAAUCGAUCGUCAAAUCUGCGCAUGGGGGCGAAAGACUAAUCGAACCAUCUAGUAGCUGGUUACC
RNAcentral lists this ribosomal RNA (886 nucleotides) under Neopestalotiopsis sp. 15 SSNM-2014. RNAcentral's name for it is "LSU rRNA". It matches the Rfam family "Eukaryotic large subunit ribosomal RNA", at positions 48 to 959 of the family's 3401-position model. Lineage: Eukaryota; Fungi; Ascomycota; Sordariomycetes; Amphisphaeriales; Sporocadaceae. The record is from RNAcentral.